AGAGUUUGAUCCUGGCUCAGGAUGAACGCUAGCUACAGGCUUAACACAUGCAAGUCGAGGGGCAGCAUGUCGGUUGCUUGUAACCGAUGAUGGCGACCGGCGCACGGGUGAGUAACGCGUAUCCAACCUACCCUUGUCCAUCGGAUAACCCGUCGAAAGGCGGCCUAACACGAUAUGCGGUUCUCAGCAGGCAUCUAGCGAGAACGAAAUGUGAAGGAGAAGGAUGGGGAUGCGUCUGAUUAGCUUGUUGGCGGGGUAACGGCCCACCAAGGCGACGAUCAGUAGGGGUUCUGAGAGGAAGGUCCCCCACAUUGGAACUGAGACACGGUCCAAACUCCUACGGGAGGCAGCAGUGAGGAAUAUUGGUCAAUGGACGAGAGUCUGAACCAGCCAAGUAGCGUGCAGGAUGACGGCCCUAUGGGUUGUAAACUGCUUUUAUAGGGGGAUAAAGUGUGCCACGUGUGGCAUAUUGCAGGUACCCUAUGAAUAAGGACCGGCUAAUUCCGUGCCAGCAGCCGCGGUAAUACGGAAGGUCCGGGCGUUAUCCGGAUUUAUUGGGUUUAAAGGGAGCGUAGGCCGUCUUAUAAGCGUGUUGUGAAAUGUCGGGGCUCAACCUGGGCAUUGCAGCGCGAACUGUGAGACUUGAGUGCGCAGGAAGUAGGCGGAAUUCGUCGUGUAGCGGUGAAAUGCUUAGAUAUGACGAAGAACUCCGAUUGCGAAGGCAGCCUGCUGUAGCGCAACUGACGCUGAAGCUCGAAAGCGUGGGUAUCGAACAGGAUUAGAUACCCUGGUAGUCCACGCGGUAAACGAUGGAUGCUCGCUGUUUGCGUCUGACGUAAGCGGCCAAGCGAAAGCGUU
This 858-nucleotide ribosomal RNA is filed under the name uncultured bacterium. Its description in RNAcentral is "bacterial SSU rRNA". It matches the Rfam family "Bacterial small subunit ribosomal RNA", at positions 8 to 861 of the family's 1533-position model. The record is from RNAcentral.